AUUCUAGUAGCUUAAUAAAGAGCUUGAUAUUGAAGAUAUCAGGGUGACAUUUUUGUCCUAGGGUA
This 65-nucleotide transfer RNA is filed under the name Anaissus sp. UPOL RK0301. RNAcentral describes it as "tRNA-Phe". The record is from RNAcentral. Lineage: Eukaryota; Metazoa; Arthropoda; Insecta; Coleoptera; Elateridae.